AUGAGGACGAGGAGCGGCUCUCUCUAUACCUGCGACCAAGCGGCUCCCGUCGCCGGGCAGAAGAGGAAGAGGUCGCCUGCCGCCGCCGGCGAGGGAUGCGGCCUGCUUCGGAAGCGGCAGGCUGCGGGGCCGGACUUUUUGGAUGCCAUCCCUGAUGACCUCGUGCUGUCUAUCUUCUCCAGGCUCGCCGCAUCUGCAAACUCCCCGUCCGACCUGCUGUCUGUCCACCUAACGUGCAAGAGACUGAACGGCCUGGGACAACAGGACAUGGUGUUCGCCAAGGCCUCGCCGGCGUCGCUGGCCGUCAAGGCGGCGGCGUGGUCGGAGCCCGUGCAGCGGUUUUUAAAGGGCUGCGCUGACGCCGGCAACCUUGAGGCUUGCUAUAUUCUCGGCAUGAUCCGGUUCUAUUGCCUUGGCAGCCAGAGCGGCGGCGCGGCUCUUCUCGCGAAGGCGGCGGUCGGUGGGCACCCGGCGGCGCUCUACUCGCUGGCGGUCAUCCAGUUCAACGGGAGCGGUGGCGCCAGGUCGGACCGCGACCUGCGCGCCGGGGCGGCACUCUGCGCGCGCUCCGCCGCGCUGGGCCACGUCGACGCGCUCCGCGAGCUCGGGCACUGCCUCCAGGACGGCUACGGCGUGCGCCGCGACCCGGCCGAGGGCCGCCGCCUCCUCGUCGCCGCCAACGCCCGCGAGCUCUCCCUCGCGCUCGCCGCCACGGCGGCCAGUGCGGCCUACCCCUUCGCCUCCCUGCCCAUCGGCGCCGUCGCGGGCGGCGCCGGCGUUGGCGUCUGCAGCUCCCCUCUUCUCUCGGACUUCGGGUGGAGCCUGCCGGAGGCAGAGCCGCACACGGCGAACCAGUUCAUGUCGGACUGGUGGGCGUUGAGCUGCGUGCAGGCGUGCGCCAAGAAGCCCGAGGCGGCGACCACCGGCGAGAGCGAGGGCGAGCUACGGCUGUGCUCCCACAUGCGGUGCGGGCGCAAGGAGACGCGGCGGCACGAGUUCCGGCGCUGCUCCGUGUGCGGCGCGGCCAACUACUGCUCCCGCGCGUGCCAGGCCCUGGACUGGAAGCGCGCCCACAAGGCCCAGUGCGUGCCCAGUGCGUGCCAGCCCCUGAAUAGGAUUGCAACUUAA
RNAcentral lists this ribosomal RNA (1128 nucleotides) under Triticum aestivum (bread wheat). RNAcentral's name for it is "partial small subunit ribosomal RNA". Lineage: Eukaryota; Viridiplantae; Streptophyta; Magnoliopsida; Poales; Poaceae. The record is from RNAcentral.